RNAcentral lists this microRNA precursor (109 nucleotides) under Trifolium pratense (red clover). The record is from RNAcentral. Lineage: Eukaryota; Viridiplantae; Streptophyta; Magnoliopsida; Fabales; Fabaceae.
AGAGUGUAUUUGAGCCAAGGAUGACUUGCCGGCAGCAUGUACCGCAAAUGUAGACUCCCUUCUCAUUUGGGUGAUGUCGGCGAGUAGUCAUGGCUCACUUUUGCUCUCU